RNAcentral lists this ribosomal RNA (537 nucleotides) under uncultured bacterium. RNAcentral's name for it is "bacterial SSU rRNA". It matches the Rfam family "Bacterial small subunit ribosomal RNA", at positions 8 to 523 of the family's 1533-position model. The record is from RNAcentral.
AGAGUUUGAUCCUGGCUCAGAACGAACGCUGGCGGCGUGCUUAACACAUGCAAGUCGAACGGGAUCCAGAGCUUGCUCUGGUGAGAGUGGCGCACGGGUGAGUAACGCGUGGAUAACCUGCCCUGGUAUCCGGAAUAACAUCUCGAAAGGGGUGCUAAUACCGGAUAAGCCUACGGAGCCCUCGGUCUCUGCAGGAAAAGGUGGCCUCUAUUUAUAAGCUACCGUAUCAGGAUGGGUCCGCGUACCAUUAGCUAGUUGGUGGGGUAAUGGCCUACCAAGGCGACGAUGGUUAGCUGGUCUGAGAGGAUGAUCAGCCACACUGGAACUGAGACACGGUCCAGACUCCUACGGGAGGCAGCAGUGGGGAAUUUUGCGCAAUGGGGGAAACCCUGACGCAGCAACGCCGCGUGAGUGAUGAAGGCUUUCGGGUCGUAAAGCUCUGUCAGAGGGGAAGAAAUGAGAUUGGCUAAUAUCCAAUUUUCUUGACGGUACCCUCAAAGGAAGCACCGGCUAACUCCGUGCCAGCAGCCGCGGUAA